CAGGAGCUCCCGGCUGCAGCGGGAGGCGGUCGCCGGGCCGGAAGCUGUUGCGCAGCAGCCACCUAACCCUGCUCCCCGCCCCGCCCCGCCCCGGCCCGGGGUUAGCGGCCGGCGGAGCGGCCGGGGAAGCUCCCUCAUGGGGGAUUCAUUGUCAGUGUUAGUUUAUUGGUCGCCCAGCGCCCAGACGCGUGUGAGGCCCCCACGGGCCCCGCAGCGUUGAUUGACCUGAUUUCCAGAGGUGAAGCUGCACGGCUCCCAGGGGACCGGAAGGUGCCCGCACCUGUGGAAAGCAGGCCGCUGCAGUGUCCCGAUGAGCAGAGGGGAAGGGGUGCAGUGUGUAAAUGCAGUGAGUCAGGAGAGGUGUGAAACCUGGGUCGCGCCUGCUGCUCAUUUCCCCCUUCUCUCAGCUGUUUUUCUUUCCGAUCCUCAUCCACAGCUCCUUUCUCUCUCUUCCUUUCCCCCAGCCUGGACUGAGGCUGCAAUCCUGAAAAGGAUCACCUAGCUUCAAUAGGGUUAGUCAUAUGUUGAGUGUGUGGGAAAUCUUUAGAGGCUGUGGGCCUACCCAUGGGUCAGGUUACUUGUGGUCCACGUGUAUGUCAGAUACACAAACUUUUGCAAAACCUUAGCCCUGCCACAGAGAUGUUUCCAUGAUUGUUUUAAUUCUAAUGGAAACACUUUUGAAGAAUUAAAAACACUAAAUAAUUUCCCUGCCCUGUGCAAAGUGUGAAACUGACUAGAAAGAAAAGUGAAAUCAACUGGUCUGUAUUCUCUGGCCAAUCUGAGAGAAAUGCUACUAGUAAGCAGCAUAGUAAAUGUAGAUUGUCUCAAUUAUUUCAGCUCUCAAUCAUGUAAUUUAGUAGCAUAUAUCAUUUAGAAAUAUGUAUAUGGCUUAAUUCAACUCUGGAUUACACUGACCUCUAAUGUUUUAAAAAUCAGCCUGAAGGGCAGUGACACAAAGCACCUGCAACCACCGUUCCAGCAGGAGGGCCACAGCAAGUCAGUGCAGUCCCAAAUGCAGUAGAGGGACAGGGGAGAGGAUAUGGUGAAGGCAACCAGGGAUACACAGGUUGAACACAUGCCCCAGAAAGGCUGUCUAAGGCAUCUGGAUGGGAGUUCACCUGGGAAUCCAAAAUACUAGUUAGGCCUGGAACUGUUUAGUUUCUGACAUCAGACAACAUUGAGUGCAAUCAGUGUAGUGAACACAUGCCUGGGCCUCUGAUGGUGGCUGCAGUUUAGAACUGCCCUCCAAAAGCAGAGCUUUAAGGGGCACAGGGGUCACAGAGCAACCUCACACUUCAGGAGAAGCUCCUGCAGCUUCUGUUUCAUGGAACUAGGCCCAGCUCCAGGUAUUGUGACCUUGCCCAUGGAGUCACAGUGGUGUUCAGGUUUGGCCCAGGCUCCUCUCCUUCAUCAGGAAUGAGGGGCAGCUGGGCCAAAUUUGAGUGAAGGGCACCGCAGCUCCAUAUGCCAGGUUGCAGCACUCAAAUUUGGCCUGGCUGCCCCAUCCACCUCAGUGGGAACAGACCCAACCUUAGGAGCAUUGUCACCCUGUGUAUGAGAUUACAAUGCCCAGAGAGAGAGAGUCAGUCCUAGCCCCACAGGCUACAAGCUAUCACUGUGAGGUGAAUUUUUUCAUUUUAUGGGUUUUUUUUAAUGUUCUUUUUCAUUCUCUGUUGUUUUACAUUUGUGAAAAACACAGGGCUCUACCACUAGCAGUGCUUCCAUCAUAUAUGGGGCAGGAAAGAGACUGAAGUCCAGAUCCUCAAAAGUAUGUAUGCUCCUAACUUCCACUGAAAUUAAUGGAAGUUAGGAGCCUACAUAUCUUUGAAGAUCUGGGCCUGAGCUGCUUAUCCCAUCCCAACCAUUAGUUUGGUCACAUGUGAAAUGAAAGACACCACCUCUCCUGUAGCAGCACUUCCUCAGGUCCGUCUGGUGAAUUGCUUCAGUGGAUGGCCAAUCUGGUCAGGCAAGAAGCAGCGUGCAAUUGGUCUGGAUACUAAUACAGACAAAAUGAAGUCCCUUACCAUUACCAUCAAGCAGCCUCCAGGCUCCAGAUUACAACUGCUCAGUGUUAACCUGUCCAGAUGGGAUAUGAAGCAGCUGGCAACUGUCAAACACUUUGGAAGCUCGAUAGACUGUGUUGGUGGAGGAAGUUUUUUGAAAGAUGUGGAUGUUCAUAUAGAAGCAGCUACUGGCAUGGUCCAAGCCCUUCAGCAGCCUCUGAGAAGAUGUCUGGACAUCAAGUUUACUUCAGAGCUGUGGCCCUGAUAGGUUGCUCUAGAAAUUCUGUAGAAAGGUUCUAAUUCUCUAUUGAAUUCUUGAAAACUUUUCUGUGAGAGACCUCUUGUAUCACUACUGAGGCCUAUCUCACAAAUUACCCUAAUUGUUGUCUGUAGCAUUGACCAUAUUGCAACCCAUCAUUCCUCUUAUUGAACAGAAAAGGAACUGCAAAUGAAAUAUACAAAUAAAAAAGCAGUGUGGUAAAUGAUGUAAAUAAUGUGUGUUUUGGUUCAUGAGGAGCUCAUCAACCAUUCCCUAAAGUGAUUUUGGCUGCCCCUUGCAGCUGUGUUAGUCUCUGAGAUUCUUAAAAUUGCACCAAGACAAAAUUGAAGCCCUUGUAUGUGAGCAUGGAAAGUUCCCAUUAAAAUCAAUGAGCAAACAGUCAUCUUUUCUAUGGCUGCUUCUGGGAACAGGAAACCACACAAGUCCUCACUGAUCUCUGACUAUCCAGUGUACAAUAUUCCAUUUUAACUCAGUCUGCAAGAUAAGCUAGAGAAAAUUGAAUGUAGUGCACAUACAAUAAUGCUGUUCUGCAAACAGAGUUGAGAAAACAAAUGUUCAUAAUCCUCCACAGAUUAUAUGCUCUUUCCAUGGGCAAAGUCCAAGUAAACGGGUGUGAGUGGUUGUGUCGCUUCUCAAGGUACACAGGCUGUGAGUCACUUUGUUGCUUCCUGCUUUUACAGCAUGAGUCUUGACUGUGCCAGCUAACUUGUGUCAACUCCCUAACAUAACCACCCUAUCAGCACUCAAGCACUCUCCUCUCGGUUAUGCCAGCCUUACCUUUGCUCCUGCAGGUUGAUAUAAUCGAGUCCUCAGAGGGCCAGGUGGCCUAGUGGGUAGCACACCCAGUUUCCUGCCUUGCCUCCCAGCAGGAAGGCUUUUCAGUCCAGUUCCUAACCCUUGUAUGGGGCUUAGCUUCACCUCAGGGUUUUCAAUGUCCUUGUCCUCUCCUUACUAUUAGGAAAGUGGAAUGGAAAUGAGACUUAUGCCUCUCCAGUUGACAGUAGAUGCAUCCCAACCCUUGGGUCCCUUGAAAGUGUCCCUGGAUGGUAUCCAGCCCCGAUCACGGGGUACCCACAGAUAUCCCAGAUCCUCCAUUUUCAAAAGAACUGUGUACGCCAAUUUAUUAGAUUUUACUUUACACAUCACUACACUAGAGUUCAAUUAUAGUGUUAAAAAAAAAUA
Molecule: long non-coding RNA, 3465 nt
Organism: Dermochelys coriacea (leatherback sea turtle)
Lineage: Eukaryota; Metazoa; Chordata; Testudines; Dermochelyidae
Exons: 2
Source: RefSeq, a predicted model, not a curated record